AAGACAAUAAAAAGACAUUUUAUCUUGGUCGUAAACUUAUCGGUUAGUCGUAAACGUAUUAACAAAUUCGUUGGAGUUUAACGCAAUUGACAACUACGAUGGACAUUCCUUCGGCUCGCGCGAGUUAGUUCAUGGAGAUCUAUCAUACUCGUAAAUGUAAUUUACGCGAUGACGUGUCGUUACGUUGCUUGAAACGCAGUUAAGAACAAAACUGAUGACUAUUUUCAUUCGGAUAUAUCUUCUUCAUGUACGAUGGCUAAAAGUCAUUGUCUAAAAUUCAAGCGACGAUAUAUCAUCAAUCAGGAUAUUAGAAAUCGUUUCUAAGAACAAUAGGAAUAGUAAAAGUGACGCUCUAGUGAAAAUAACAUUGACAGUUAAGUAAAUGAUAAUUCAUUGCCUUUUACAUCUAAACGCAUUUCUAAUAAUUAAGCAAGAUUAGAAACCUCUCUCUUUUAAUAAACAUUGUUUCCAGAAUCAUUCCUAAACGUAUCAAAGAUGUAAUAUUCGCAUUGAGUAGACAACGGCACGAGAAGGCAAUGCUUAUAAAUAGUGAAGUUAUGCCACGAAGAAAAGAAGAAAAAAGUAAUAAUAAAUAAAGAGAAAGGUAAAUAGAUCCUUCUCUUCCUGGCAGUAAGACGUUAAUACAUGGAAGAGAAGCAAGUCAAAACGAUGUAACUGUUUCCUGAUGCCAUUGACCUCCCAUGGCAGCAACUGUCUCUCGUGUACCAUCCACAACACAUUUCUUUUAAUAUACUUUACUUCCUAGUAAAUAAAGACUACACUGAAACGCGAGACGCCGCGCGUCGUAACGCCAAGUUUAUCUUAUUGUUCUUAAGCAUGGAGUUCGUGAACUUUUCGAAAAUAGUCAAGAAAAUUCAAAUUAGGAACGUAUAACGAAGAUAAAUAUAAUGUUUUUGCUUACGAAUCACCUAUGGACUUACAAUAUAGAAAAUUGAGAGAGAGAGAGAGAGAGAGAGAGAGAGAGAGAGAUGGAAUAAAAGUUUGGAAUGUUGAAACAAAUAUUGAGACAUUCGAUUCUGUCGGAGAAUUCCAGAGGAAGGCACGCUUCUAAAAUAGAAACCUUCUGAUAGCGUAUAGGGCACGUAUAACGCGAAUAUCCUUUCGUUGCUGCUGCGUCAUCUAAAAUACUACCAAUCCUACUUUCUUUCUCUGCGAUAUUAAAAAAUAACUUUGUCCUUUGGAGUUUAUAACGCAAAAACCAGAACGACAACACUUGAUUUUAUCCUUGAAAGAGAAGAAAUAACUCUACGAGUAAAUAAUCGCUUUAUUUUGAACAGUUGUAAACCGAUCGAAGUGAACGUUCAGUUUAGAAAUGUAUUUUUACGUAUCAAUCGCUUAUAAUGGGAAAAAUAUUAUAGUUUUUAUGUGGUGUUGCUUCAUCGAUCGAUUUUAUUUAAUCCAUGCAUUGAAAAACGAAACGAUAUAACAAUCAAACAACAAGGAAACGGAAGAAUAACAUAAAAGUUGGAAAGAAUGCAAACACCGGCCGGUUUACCGACCGACGAUCGGCUUGUCAAACCGGCACAGCCGCGCCCUUGACUAUAUUUAGAAGCAUCUAUACGACGUGCUUCUUUCAGGGAACAUUCUACUUCUCUUUUUUUUCGCAUCACUGGACAACAGCCAUUUUCAAAUCGACCAAACGCGGAUCGUCAUUAUAAUCGUCAUAUACACCUGCCUAAUUGUGUCGGCAAACGAAUAGAUAAAUAAUAACGUUUUUUUUUUGUUUUUUUUUUUUUUCGAAUAAAGCCUCUUUCAAUGAAGUCUCAAAUAUGUAUAACCAUAAGUAUAUUAUUUAAUCAAUUGUUUGUGCGAUUUAGUAAUCCCCAUUGAAGGCAAAUUGUGAAUUAAAUAGGAAUAGAGAGACAUGUUUUGUUAUUUUCAGGUAUGAUUCAGACUUAAAUAUAUGAAUUCUAUUAGUAAGAGAGAGACGCUCAUUGUGUCCAACUCACAGAUCGGUACGGUAGGUUUAUUGCGCAAUAUGAACGUUUCUAUCUGUUUUUUCAUAUGAAUCUGUUUGACGAUCAAUUUUUCCUUAUACCAAGCGAUUUCGAGCUCGAUGAUGAACAUGUUAAAAGGCCUGAUCUAUUAGAUCGAGACAUAAAAAUUCUCUUUGGAAAAUAAAAUUUGUAUAAUAGUAAUUAGAAAUGAAAUUUAAAGAUUAAUAAAAUAAUUAAUAUAUACGAUAUGGUAACUUACAAAUAGCCAUGUUGAAAAUCGAAGUAGUAAUUAGAGAUUCCUCGAUACGAGCGUGCCGGUAUACACCUUAGACAGAAUUCGAACUGGUACUGCGUUAAGCUGGCAUUUUCCAUUCCUUUUACUUACGGUUGUCGGCAUGGGAGGAGAUUUCGCACAUGCGCAGACGCGGCACACCUAACGUUGCAUCUACAAACAGCGUUAUUGCGGAUAAAUCGCAAACUAGUGUAUCCCUAUAUAUAAUAUCCCCGUUUAUAUAUUUUUGACGAUUAAACGAUUAAUAAAGGUCCAACUUUAUAAGCAUUUCAUGUUAUGUUGAUAAACGAAAAAAAAAUUAAUAGGUUUUUCAAUUAAUCAAUCACCAACCAAUCAAUAUUCAUUACUUGCUGAUGAU
Molecule: long non-coding RNA, 2608 nt
Organism: Vespa mandarinia (Asian giant hornet)
Lineage: Eukaryota; Metazoa; Arthropoda; Insecta; Hymenoptera; Vespidae
Source: RefSeq, a predicted model, not a curated record